ACAGCGAACUCUUCCUUCUCGUUGGGAGUCUUCACCGUGAUUUUGAUGAUUCGCGGGUGGGCAGCAGCGAAGCCCUGAGCGGAGGAUUCAGAUGAGCUGUGGGCCUCCGCGGAGCUCUCCGCACUCUCCGACAUGGCAGCUCCCCCUUCUAGGUAACUCCCCCAGUUUAUAUACUGGGCACAACAUUCUAUGGAAUGGAAUGGAAUGGAAUGGAAUGGAAUGGAAUGGAAUGGAAUGGAAUGGAAUGGAAUGGAAUGGAAUGGAAUGGAAUAUCCCUUUGGCCACUUCAGAUCAGCUGUCUUGGCCAUGCUUCCUCACAGCUUCUUGUGUACUGGCAGAGCCUGAGAUUCUGAAAAGCUCUUGACUCAAGAAUUUAGCACCUCAUCUCAUCUUUGGUCUUGAAAUUCUGGUAUUGAGAAACCGCCAGACUAUUCAGCUGAGUCUUCACAGAAGUAUGGUGAAUGUCGUUUAUUUCUAUCUUUAGCACACUUUUAUAGGGUCCGACAGGGUCCGCGGGCUUAGCAAGAUACUAUUGGCUAAUACAUAUUGGUUUACAUUCUUUCCCCAGUACACAAGGCUAUUGUUUUUCUUUCAUUCUCGCUGCUUCAGGAGAGUUUCAAAAACACUACCUUUAAUAUCAUUGCUUAUACCAAAGGCUGGCAUGUGCAGACAGGCUUUUACUAAAAUAUCAUGCUUUUACUCUAUUAAAAUGUUUUACUACAAUUCCCCAUUUCUCUUUUUGCACAAGCCAGGCUUUAGACGUGAUUCGUUUUACACUUCUACAGAUACAAGAUAACAUACAGCUUAAAAUAACUAUCUCUAUUAAUACCAUAAGUAAUAUCCGUCCCCCCUCCAGCACAAGAGACUUCAACCAUCCAGUGAUGCCCCAGUUGACUAACCAACUUCCAAUGGGGUCACUAUCUUCUUUCAGGGCAUGUAACCCAUUCUGUAGCUGUCUUAGUUGUUUGUGGAUUGAAACUGAAUGAUCAGUAAGGUUUAAACAGCAUAUACCUUCAAACUCCUCACAAUUAUGUCCUUGUGCUAAGAGCAAGAAAUCAAUUGCAGCUUGAUUUUGCAAAAUGGCAUGAUGUACACUACUUACAUCAGUUGAAAGUUCACUUAACAUUGUUGAUGUUAAGUUCAGUUCUUUCCUGGUCUAACAAGCUAGCCUUUUUCGAGUUGACAAGCCUUUAGCAUCACCUACUCCUGGAGUAAAAAAGAGGAUGGCCAUAUUAUACCACGACCUCAAAAGUCUGGGUCUCUAACAUCAUCACAUUGUAAUUCAUUCAGGCUUCGCUUUGACCGUUUGAUGUUUUUUAUUUUACCAGCUAUAUUCAGCAAUUGGUGUAAGUUUGGAUGGAACAAAGUAAGUUUCCCAAGGUAACAGGGUCUUCCGUGUGGGCUAGCAGGAAUCUCAUUCCAUGCUCUAUCUCCACAGAUUAAGAAUAUUGCACUAGGUAAUUGCUUUGGUAAUUGUCCUGUGAGAUUGCACUGUGAAUAAAAAGCUUUACUUUCGGUGUUAGUAAUGAGAUCAACUAUAGGGUUAACUGUAGCUCAGUGUUGCAUCACUUUGUUGGAGUGGCUUUUUGAUGGGGUCUUAAACAUUAUUCAUCCACCUGAGGUAUUGGUGGAGCCUAACAAAUCUAAUUUUUCUGGGGGCCCUAUGGUAACAUUGAGAACUUCAAUAAUUUUUGUUUGCCAGCAGGCUUCAAGUUGUCUUGACGUGAAGCCAACAGUGAGAUUACACUCUUGUAACAUUGCCAAUUGAUUCAAUCGAAUUUCAUUGCUAACUAAACUUUUAAAUGUUUGAGGAUCCCAUUCAGGGACUCCUAUGAGACAGGUGCGAGAAGGAUCUCCAGGUGUGGCUAGGCUUAGACACACUGAUUUUUGGCCUAAGUGUGCCAGAGUGACCCAUAUGUUCUGUCGCUUUUGGAUGUUAGCUAGAAGACAGUUGGGACUAUACACAUUACAAUUACUACAAACAGUUUGUUCCAUUCAAAUGACACCAUGCUUUCAGAAUCACAGCUAGGUUUUAAGGUUAUAUGAACUUUCAAAUAUGCUCACUUUAACUCUUGAAGGGGGAAUACUUAUACUUUAUACUAAUAUAUUUUCUAAACUUAUCAAUAACCUACAAAUAACAAUUAUCACACAAGCUAAACUCUUUAUCUUAAACUAUUACCUAACUACUUUUAACACACGUGCUCUGGUAUUUAUGCAAUCUACGCAUGAAAGCAAUUUGCUUAAAGGGUAAAAUACAGUUGGAAUUUGCUUUUAUAUAUAGUUAGAUGGAGUCUCUAUACUCUUUUGAUCUUCUACAAAAUUCUUC
Long non-coding RNA from Poecile atricapillus (Black-capped chickadee), 2326 nucleotides. RefSeq lists it as uncharacterized. NCBI's taxonomy places the organism in Eukaryota, Metazoa, Chordata, Aves, Passeriformes, Paridae. The record is from RefSeq and is a predicted model, not a curated record. The transcript is spliced from 3 exons.